ACGGAAGGCAGCAGUGGGGAAUAUUGGGCAAUGGGCGGAAGCCUGACCCAGCAACGCCGCGUGAGGGAAGAAGGUUUUCGGAUUGUAAACCUCUGUCCUUGGUGACGAAAAGAUGACGGUAGCCAAGGAGGAAGCCCCGGCUAACUACGUGCCAGCAGCCGCGGUAAUACGUAGGGGGCAAGCGUUAUCCGGAUUUACUGGGUGUAAAGGGAGCGUAGACGGCAUGGCAAGUCUGAUGUGAAAACCCGGGGCUCAACCCCGGGACUGCAUUGGAAACUGUCAGGCUAGAGUGCAGGAGGGGUAAGCGGAAUUCCUAGUGUAGCGGUGAAAUGCGUAGAUAUUAGGAGGAACACCGGUGGCGAAGGCGGCUUACUGGACUGUAACUGACGUUGAGGCUCGAAAGCGUGGGGAGCAAACAGGAUUAGAUACCCUGGUA
Molecule: ribosomal RNA, 436 nt
Filed under: uncultured Clostridium sp.
Lineage: Bacteria; Bacillati; Bacillota; Clostridia; Eubacteriales; Clostridiaceae
Description: partial 16S ribosomal RNA
Rfam family: Bacterial small subunit ribosomal RNA
Source: RNAcentral